RNAcentral lists this unclassified non-coding RNA (250 nucleotides) under plant metagenome. Its description in RNAcentral is "partial contains small subunit ribosomal RNA, internal transcribed spacer 1, and 5.8S ribosomal RNA". The stretch from base 195 to 250 matches the Rfam family "5.8S ribosomal RNA", at positions 1 to 56 of the family's 154-position model. The record is from RNAcentral.
GUAGGUGAACCUGCGGAAGGAUCAUUACAAAUCAUUGUGUUUGCUCCUUUGUAAGUAAUAGGAGGAGUGAAUAACACAUGUGCCCGGACUACUAUAGUAUGGUGUGAAUAUUCAUUCAUUCCAUCCAUUGUAGUCUGUGACAUUUACGCUUGUUGUGUUUGACAGAGUUUAUAUUAUUAUCACAAAUAUAAGACAACUUUUAACAAUGGAUCUCUUGGCUCUUGCAUCGAUGAAGAACGCAGCAUCUGAC